Long non-coding RNA from Corapipo altera (White-ruffed manakin), 167 nucleotides. RefSeq lists it as uncharacterized. NCBI's taxonomy places the organism in Eukaryota, Metazoa, Chordata, Aves, Passeriformes, Pipridae. The transcript is spliced from 3 exons. The record is from RefSeq and is a predicted model, not a curated record.
AAAGAGGACACGAGAAAGAUGCUAUAGCUCUGGUCCCAUGGUAAGGGAAAACUAUUGGAAGGUCACUGUAUCUGUGAAACUGCAUACGUGACAGAAGAAUAGAAUAAAGCGGAUGGGAAAGCAGAGCAAAUAGCAAACAAGUAACUAUAAGAAGGUGAAAGGAAGAG